Molecule: ribosomal RNA, 274 nt
Filed under: uncultured bacterium
Lineage: Bacteria
Description: partial 16S ribosomal RNA
Rfam family: Bacterial small subunit ribosomal RNA
Source: RNAcentral
AUACGUAGGCAGCGAGCGUUGUUCGGAGUUACUGGGCGUAAAGCGUGCGUAGGCGGUUCCGCAAGUUCGGUGGGAAAUAUCCCGGCUCAACUGGGAGGGUGCGCCGAAAACUGCGGAGCUCGAGCGUGGGAGAGGGAAGCGGAAUUCCUGGUGUAGCGGUGAAAUGCGUAGAUAUCAGGAGGAACACCGGUGGUGUAGACGGCUUCCUGGACCACUGCUGACGCUGAGGCACGAAAGCGUGGGGAGCAAACAGGAUUAGAAACCCUAGUAGUCC